Molecule: ribosomal RNA, 253 nt
Filed under: uncultured bacterium
Lineage: Bacteria
Description: partial 16S ribosomal RNA
Rfam family: Bacterial small subunit ribosomal RNA
Source: RNAcentral
UACGUAGGGGGCCAGCGUUGUCCGGAAUCAUUGGGCGUAAAGCGCGCGUAGGCGGUCAGGUAAGUCCGGUGUGAAAGUCAAAGGCUCAACCUUUGAAUGCCGCUGGAUACUGCCUGACUUGAGUCCGGAAGGGGAGAGUGGAAUUCCUGGUGUAGCGGUGAAAUGCGCAGAUAUCAGGAAGAACACCCGUGGCGAAGGCGGCUCUCUGGGACGGUACUGACGCUGAGACGCGAAAGCGUGGGGAGCGAACAGG